RNAcentral lists this ribosomal RNA (467 nucleotides) under uncultured bacterium. Its description in RNAcentral is "partial 16S ribosomal RNA". It matches the Rfam family "Bacterial small subunit ribosomal RNA", at positions 28 to 477 of the family's 1533-position model. The record is from RNAcentral.
GAGGAACGCGGGCGGCGUGCUUAACACAUGCAAGUCGAACGGAAAGGCCAGUGCUUGCACUGGUACUCGAGUGGCGAACGGGUGAGUAACACGUGGGUGAUCUGCCCUGCACUUCGGGAUAAGCCUGGGAAACUGGGUCUAAUACCGGAUAGGACAAUGGGUGGGAUGCCGGUGUGGAAAGGUUUGUCGGUGUGGGAGGAGCGCGCGGCCGAUCAGCUUGUUGGGGGGGGAAUGGCCUACCAAGGCGUCGACGGGUAGCCGGCCGGAGAGGGGGUACGGCCCCAUUGGGGCUGGGCUCCGGCCCGGCCUCCUCCCCUCCCCCUCCUUGCCUCUUCUUUCCCCCUCGUCUCCCGCCUCCUGCGUCGCCGCCGCGUGGGGGAUGACGGCCUUCGGGUUUUCACCUCCUUUCCCUCUCUCCGCCUCUUCUUUGUCUCUCUCCCUUUCUCCGCCUCCCCCUCUCCCUCCUU